This is a long non-coding RNA of Leopardus geoffroyi (Geoffroy's cat), 605 nucleotides long. RefSeq lists it as uncharacterized. The record is from RefSeq and is a predicted model, not a curated record. Lineage: Eukaryota; Metazoa; Chordata; Mammalia; Carnivora; Felidae. The transcript has 4 exons.
GCUCCUGUACCGGAAGAAACAGCCAGAGGGCGAGAUCAGGGAGGGCCACGCCCACAGGGCUGGCCCUUCCGGACUCCACUCUCUUGACGACUGGCCCCUCCCCAUUCAGGCCCACGGGUAUCCACGUCCGGGACAUCCAUCUCAGAUUCCUGGGGAGGAGUCAGCAUGGCUGCCUGGGGGAGCUCCUGACAGUCACCCCUCAGAGGACAGAGCUGGCACUUGGAGGGAAAGAGUCUUUCCCAGAGCCUGGGUUCAUCCUCACUCUUACUUGAGGCCGAUGCUAUCUUCACCCAGGGGAGGCCGGCGUCUGCGGGGAGUGGGCUGAGUUCGAGGCCUUCGAAUGAACCCAGGGGGCAGCCAGAGGGCCCCAUGCUCACGGCGCCGCCGCCGGAUGAGCUGAAGGACGAGAAGAGCCCCAAGGGCCAGGAGGAGCACCCCAGCCACUGGUGAGCACAGCACAGGCCAGGGAAGCUGGUUGGUUGGUGGUGCUGUGCCAGCACGAGGAUGGGCAGCCAGCAGUGGUCCUGGCAGUAGGUGCUCCAGGGCCCCCACUGCAGCCAUUGCAGCAAGGAAGCGGAGCAGGAGCCCAGGGUCCCAGGGACAGC